CGGGUCGGUCAGGCAGCCGCUGGCGGGAAACCGCUGGAGGAAAGUCCGGGCUCCACAGGGCAGGGUGCCAGGUAACGCCUGGGGGUCACACUGGUGACGGUGUGGCUACGGCCAGUGCCGCAGAAAAUAGACCGCCUGUUCCUUCGGGGGCGGGUAAGGGUGAAAAGGUGCGGUAAGAGCGCACCGCGCUGCUGGUAACAGCGGUGGCAGGGUAAACCCCACCCGGAGCAAGACCAAAUAGGGAUCCAAUGGCGUGGCCCGCGCUGGAUCCGGGUAGGUCGCUAGAGGUCCCCGGUGACGGGGAUCCCAGAUGAAUGGCUGCCCACGACAGAACCCGGCUUAUCGACCGGCCCACCUU
The sequence is a non-coding RNA, 358 nucleotides long. It matches the Rfam family "Bacterial RNase P class A". From Rfam's summary of the family: Ribonuclease P (RNase P) is a ubiquitous endoribonuclease, found in archaea, bacteria and eukarya as well as chloroplasts and mitochondria. Its best characterised activity is the generation of mature 5'-ends of tRNAs by cleaving the 5'-leader elements of precursor-tRNAs. The record is from Rfam.